RNAcentral lists this ribosomal RNA (647 nucleotides) under uncultured bacterium. Its description in RNAcentral is "bacterial SSU rRNA". It matches the Rfam family "Bacterial small subunit ribosomal RNA", at positions 110 to 753 of the family's 1533-position model. The record is from RNAcentral.
GUAAUGCGUAGGAAGCUACCCGAUAGAGGGGGAUACCAGUUGGAAACGACUGUUAAUACCGCAUAAUGUCUACGGACCAAAGUGUGGGACCUUCGGGCCACAUGCUAUCGGAUGCGCCUACGUGGGAUUAGCUAGUUGGUGAGGUAAUGGCUCACCAAGGCGACGAUCUCUAGCUGGUUUGAGAGGAUGAUCAGCCACACUGGAACUGAGACACGGUCCAGACUCCUACGGGAGGCAGCAGUGGGGAAUAUUGGACAAUGGGCGCAAGCCUGAUCCAGCCAUGCCGCGUGUGUGAAGAAGGCCUUCGGGUUGUAAAGCACUUUCAGCGAGGAGGAAGGGGUUGUAGUUAAUAGCUGCAACCUUUGACGUUACUCGCAGAAGAAGCACCGGCUAACUCUGUGCCAGCAGCCGCGGUAAUACAGAGGGUGCAAGCGUUAAUCGGAAUUACUGGGCGUAAAGCGCACGCAGGCGGUUGGUUAAGUCAGAUGUGAAAGCCCCGGGCUCAACCUGGGAAUUGCAUUUGAAACUGGCCAACUAGAGUAUGUGAGAGGGGGGUAGAAUUCCAAGUGUAGCGGUGAAAUGCGUAGAGAUUUGGAGGAAUACCAGUGGCGAAGGCGGCCCCCUGGCACAAUACUGACGCUCAGGUG